GUCGGGGUCGGGAUUCUCGACGUUUACUGUGAAAAAAUCAGAGUGUUCAACGCAGGCUUACGCCUUGAAUACAUUAGCAUGGAAUAAUGAGAUAGGACCUUGGCGGUCUAUUUUGUUGGUUUGCACGCCGAGGUAAUGAUUAAAAGGGACGGUUGGGGUUCUUCGUAUUCAAUUGUCAGAGGUGAAAUUCUUGGAUUUAUGGAAGACGAACUGCUGCGAAAGCGUCGAACAAGGACGUUCUCAUUAAUCAAGAACGAAAGUUAMGGGAUC
Molecule: ribosomal RNA, 270 nt
Filed under: Pelagomonas calceolata
Lineage: Eukaryota; Pelagophyceae; Pelagomonadales; Pelagomonadaceae
Description: partial 18S ribosomal RNA
Rfam family: Eukaryotic small subunit ribosomal RNA
Source: RNAcentral